Molecule: RNA transcript, 2091 nt
Organism: Papilio machaon (common yellow swallowtail)
Lineage: Eukaryota; Metazoa; Arthropoda; Insecta; Lepidoptera; Papilionidae
Gene name: protein phosphatase inhibitor 2
Exons: 3
Source: RefSeq, a predicted model, not a curated record
CCAUAUAAAUUGCAACAUUGGUGCAUAUGUCAGAAAAUGGUAGAAUUGCCGGAUUUGUCAUCUGCCGAAAAAUAAAAUAAAUCGUCUUAAACUGGAAUUUUUGUUGUCAAGUUUAUAAGGAUGCAACUGUAAACCUUUCGGUAUGGCACAGAAUUUACAGAAAAAGCCCUCAAAGGGUAUAUUAAAGACCUCAAGAAGCGUAGACGGGCAAGACGGAACACCUUCUACGAGUAAGAGAGCGAAAGAGCAGAGGUUUGACGAAAUGAACAUUAUGGAGACGUUUCAUCCUGCCGACAAAGAUUACGGCCACAUGAAAGUCGACGAGCCUAAAACUCCUUUCUCAGAAGCGAUAGACGGCGACUUGGAGCCGGCGGACGAGUUGGACGCAAACAUAUUGGCGGCAAAACUCGCAGCGAGCAUGAACAAGCCGCCCAAGUGCGUGGAGCCUUGCGACAGCGACGAGGAAAUGGAUGAGCCCGAGGAUGUGCGGCAGCGGCGCCUCGAGUUUGAAAAGAAACGCAAAAUGCACUACAAUGAAUUUCAGGCAUUACAGCUGGCGCGGAAGCUGAUGGCGCAGGAGGAGGAAGAGGAGGACGAAGAGAAGGAGACCCGCUCCGCCACCUGACUGCAGCCCCCCAGCGCUGCCCCUCGCUGUACAUAACACGGACCAUCUCAAGCUGGAUUUCGUCAAACAUUAGUUCCAGCUUUCGCAGACAAUAUAUCAGAUAUAAGUUGGUACUUAUUGCCAUAGGCGUUGUGUUCCUGAACUUGGCUGUAAGAAAAUCUAUGUGCGUGCGUUAGAUUAUAUGUGACGGAGAUAUCCGUGAUUUAUAUGAAAAAUUUGCAUUUUUAUUUGUACAAGCGUGAUGAACAAUCGCUCGCAGAAUGUUCAGUGAAACGCUUACAUAUAUAAUAAGGGAAUUUACAAUUCAUUAGUUCGUAACGUAACGCUGUUUCGAUUUAACUUCUUUGUUACUUAUGUGGAAUACAAAAUGCAAUAAUUUAAGUUCAUAUUUAAUUCGAGGGCGCUAUCGACCGAUUCAAACUGAUUUAAUUUAUUUGACGUCUCGAGUAAAUCGCGAGCUCCGCUAGUUACAUGUAAACACUCUCAUACGAUGUCAUAUGUAUGAAAUUUCGCGUCCGCGACCGCGUCUUAGAUAUGAACAAGCGUUAUUCUUGCAUCAUUUAGGUAAACUUGAUUCACAUAGAUUUAUCAACACUUUCAGUACGCAAUAGCGCUUACAAAUUUAAUAAGAUUUUUUAUAAAAUGUACUAUAAUAUAGGGCAGGGUAAUCAAUGCUGCUCGAUGAAAUGCUUAACUUAUAGUUUGUAGUAUGAGCGGGAUAUGAAUUAGUCCUGGACGACCGACGGCAAAGUCGACCAGCUCAUGUAGACCUCCAUGAAAAUUGAACUGAAGUUAUGUAUAAGGUUGUUAGAGUUUUGGUAUCAGUUUUAUCGUGAUUCUAAGGCUUUGUUUACAACAAACUUAUUAUUAGCCACUCACAAUUAGCUGCAAUGCUAAUUAAUUUUUGGUUGAGUAUGCGACUUCAGGACAAAAGUCGUAGUCGCAGACUCUUGGUCUCACAAUCAACUAGAUAUGAGACAGCGACUGACGAUUCGUUUCGUAUGAAAGCACCCUUAUGGAGGUCAACAUCUAGCGGUGUAUAAAAAAUAACAGUGAAAAGAAAUAUAAAUUUACUCGUGUGGAGCCCCAAUUAAUUGACUGUUGAAACUAGUCGAUAAUUCGUAAUUUACAUGUUUUUCCAUUUGUUUUCUUUUAAAAUUCUAGGUAUAGAUGUUUUAAAUGUAGUUGGCCUUAAAGUGAAAAUUAAGAUGCAAGCAACUUUGCAUGGAUUCAACAAAUCCUUGUUAACUAACGCAAUGCUCCUAAGUAUAGAAUCCGUUAAGAAAUCAACUGAUUAUAAUUAUUUUUUUGGUACGUUGAUGCAAAUAGAAAUGAGUAAUUUGAUAAAAAAGAAAUCAUAGACAUUUAACAAAAACCUCAGAGAACGUUAAAAAGUCGUGAAAUAUUUUAUUUUUAUUGUGCCAAAUUGAGCAAAAUUCUAAAUCUCCAAAUAAAAUUGUAUUGAA